This is a non-coding RNA of Mustela putorius furo (domestic ferret), 272 nucleotides long. The record is from Rfam. Lineage: Eukaryota; Metazoa; Chordata; Mammalia; Carnivora; Mustelidae.
GUCUGUCUGCCUCUUUCUUGGUUCUGCUGUCCUGCACUACCGGACAGAAUUUUCUGCUCUUGUACUGAGAGGACCCUGAAGUGAGGCCUUCCCCUGUAGAGGAGCUUGGUUCCUUGCUCGAGGGUCUCCUAGCAGCUGCUCCCUGUGCUAGAACCUUCCAACAAACUCUCGGGCCCGGCUGUGGGACGAUGGAGGCUAGUCAGGGCUAGUCAUACUUCCCUACUCUGGGCCUAUGCAAAUGAGGAGCUGUACGCGGCAGUCUGCCUUUCUUA